Molecule: long non-coding RNA, 768 nt
Filed under: Fragaria vesca (wild strawberry)
Lineage: Eukaryota; Viridiplantae; Streptophyta; Magnoliopsida; Rosales; Rosaceae
Description: long non-coding RNA (FVES_LNC000203)
Source: RNAcentral
GUUUCCUUAUUUGUGAUUGAUUUACGUUAUUUUAGUGUUUUUGUAGGUUUGUGUCAUACAGAGAAGAAAAGGAGUUAAAAUGAGCAAAUAAGGAUUGAAAGACGAUUGCAAUCCCAAGUGCCAGAAUUUGUCUAUGCAGAACGGCUAACUUUGCCGAAUUACUGGGAAUUAUUCAGAUCGAAUCAGACUAUGAGCCUUCAUUGGAAAGCUACGGAAGUCUACUUUCUGUAAAAGUUUACGGAUCUCGAUUUCGAUACUUAUGAACUGAGUUAUGAUCAUUUGAAUGAAGAUAGGUCAGAUCAGAAAAUCUGCUCGGGAAAUUACAAGCUUUUGUGGAGAACUCAAGUUCCAUGGUACAAGACUGUCAACCCUAAAGCUUCAAGGACAAUAAUACAUAUGAGGAUUCAAGAAGUACAUGUAUUCCUAGUUCUACAAGAGAUAUCUCAAGGUUUUCUCAUUCCAUAUCAAAAAAGGAGUCUGAAUCCAAGUCUUACAAGGAAAUAUGAAGCCAAAGAUGAGCAGGAAACUUCUCUAUAUAAAGGAGCACGAAUUUCAUAUGAAGGAGAGGUCUCGGAAAGCACAUUGUAGACGCCUAAAGGAGCAGAGACCAUCCAUCCAUCCACCUUCACCUUCAUCCCCUUUCCAUCAUUACUAUGUUUUAUUUAGUCUUGUUAAGUUAAACCUUUUCUAGGGUUAGGAUGAUGCCCUAGCAUGAUUGUUUAUGUCUUUGAUGUUUGAUUAAUUGAUUUAUAGUUUCUUUAUGAUGAA